AAAGCCUCGCCCAGGCAAAGUUGUUUGACCAUAAAAGGAGAGAGGCUGCGCGAACAGCUGAGCUCACUCGCUGGGGAAUGUGGCAAUGAGCCUACACUGAUGAGAAGCCCGCAGUAUGCUGCAUCCUUACCAGAUUAUACCAGAGUCCUAGAGUCUCCAUUUGUGUUAGCUUUCGACUCGAAAAUUGUUGUUCUCCAAAUCCCUGCACCUCCAAGCAAGGAAUGGAAUUUCAAGUUACAUAGUUGCUGCCUGAAGAAUUCCACUCGCCUAAACAUAGCAAUUAUUCAUGUGAUUUGAGGGACCGUGAGACCAGAACUCUUCCCAUCUACAAUUUUCAACUCCUUCUCCCAGCCAACAGUAAACGGAGGAAGAAGUAGUAAAUGUGAAAGUAUGAUAAAUGUUCUCUUACCUACUGCAGAUUAAAACCAACUUUGGGGAGAUAAAAAGGAAGAGCAGCCUUCUGUGAGAGCAGAGAAAAUCUAAGAACCCCCAAAAUGCAGAAGACAUGCUCUUGCAUUAACUGCACCUUGUGUUUCAGGGCCUUACUAUGUAAGAAUGGGCGUACUACACAUGAGACUGUGAGAAGCGGGAAACUUUUUGAAACAUCGUGAUGGCUGGUGAUUAGUACUAUACUGUGAAAAAAACCCAUAUAUUGACUCAGUGUAUGUCUUGAUUCCAUUUGAAAUUCCUUUUCUGUCAAAAACAUGGACAGAACAGGGUAGGCUGAAGAUUAAAGAUUCUGGCAUCUGCUGAGCCCUUCCUGGCAGGGAGGGAGUGGGAAAGAUUCCCUUACCUGUGAACUCACUCAUCUUCCCAUUUCAUGUGCCACUGGAAAAGCCCCAGGCCACGGCAGAAGAACCUGGAAUUUCAGAGCAUGGCCCAGCCUACCUCCAGUCUCAUCCCACGUGAGCAGGCAUUUAGCUGGUUCAGAUGCAAGGUGCAGGCAGAACAAGAUUACAUUUGCUCGGAUGUGAGUGUAGUCCACAUGAAAAUCCUAUCAGUAGCUAAUACAGCUUGAUGUAGAAUUAACUCAUGUGGCAUCUACUCCAUUACUUCUAUGAAGCAAUUACAG
Molecule: long non-coding RNA, 1072 nt
Organism: Aquila chrysaetos chrysaetos
Lineage: Eukaryota; Metazoa; Chordata; Aves; Accipitriformes; Accipitridae
Exons: 5
Source: RefSeq, a predicted model, not a curated record